This 359-nucleotide small RNA is filed under the name Pan troglodytes (chimpanzee). Its description in RNAcentral is "processed transcript". The record is from RNAcentral. Lineage: Eukaryota; Metazoa; Chordata; Mammalia; Primates; Hominidae.
CUGUUUCAGUGCUGGGAGUAAACACUGUGCAGUGGGUGUCUCUUGUAGUUCAGAUGUUCUCUGGACUGACAUCACCUGGUAUGUUUUUUUUUCCAGAAGGCUGCUAAGGCAGUCCAGGAGAAGAGACACUCGCCUAUGGGGACAUGAACCACGAGUGGAUCGGCAACGAGUGGCUCCCCAGCCUGGGCCUCCCCCAGUACCGCAGCUACUUCAUGGAGUGCCUUGUAGACGCCAGGAUGCUGGACCACUUGACCAAGAAAGACCUUCGAGGGCAGCUGAAAAUGGUCGACAGUUUUCACAGAAACAGUUUCCAGUGUGGAAUUAUGUGCCUGAGAAGGUUAAAUUAUGACCGGAAAGAA